GACGAACGCUGGCGGCGUGCUUAACACAUGCAAGUCGAACGGAAAGGCCCUGCUUUUGUGGGGUGCUCGAGUGGCGAACGGGUGAGUAACACGUGAGUAACCUGCCCUUGACUUUGGGAUAACUUCAGGAAACUGGGGCUAAUACCGGAUAGGAGCUCCUGCUGCAUGGUGGGGGUUGGAAAGUUUCGGCGGUUGGGGAUGGACUCGCGGCUUAUCAGCUUGUUGGUGUGGUAGUGGCUUACCAAGGCUUUGACGGGUAGCCGGCCUGAGAGGGUGACCGGCCACAUUGGGACUGAGAUACGGCCCAGACUCCUACGGGAGGCAGCAGUGGGGAAUAUUGCACAAUGGGCGGAAGCCUGAUGCAGCAACGCCGCGUGCGGGAUGACGGCCUUCGGAUUGUAAACCGCUUUCGCCUGUGACGAAGCGUGAGUGACGGUAAUGGGUAAAGAAGCACCGGCUAACUACGUG
RNAcentral lists this ribosomal RNA (468 nucleotides) under uncultured bacterium. Its description in RNAcentral is "partial 16S ribosomal RNA". It matches the Rfam family "Bacterial small subunit ribosomal RNA", at positions 28 to 507 of the family's 1533-position model. The record is from RNAcentral.